Molecule: ribosomal RNA, 468 nt
Filed under: uncultured bacterium
Lineage: Bacteria
Description: partial 16S ribosomal RNA
Rfam family: Bacterial small subunit ribosomal RNA
Source: RNAcentral
GACGAACGCUGGCGGCGUGCUUAACACAUGCAAGUCGAACGGAAAGGCCCUGCUUUUGUGGGGUGCUCGAGUGGCGAACGGGUGAUUAACACGUGAGUAACCUGCCCUUGACUUUGGGAUAACUUCAGGAAACUGGGGCUAAUACCGGAUAGGAGCUCCUGCUGCAUGGUGGGGGUUGGAAAGUUUCGGCGGUUGGGGAUGGACUCGCGGCUUAUCAGCUUGUUGGUGGGGUAGUGGCUUACCAAGGCUUUGACGGGUAGCCGGCCUGAGAGGGUGACCGGCCACAUUGGGACUGAGAUACGGCCCAGACGCCUACGGGAGGCAGCAGUGGGGAAUAUUGCACAAUGGGCGGAAGCCUGAUGCAGCAACGCCGCGUGCGGGAUGACGGCCUUCGGGUUGUAAACCGCUUUCGCCUGUGACGAAGCGUGAGUGACGGUAAUGGGUAAAGAAGCACCGGCUAACUACGUG